Molecule: ribosomal RNA, 568 nt
Filed under: Anteaglonium parvulum
Lineage: Eukaryota; Fungi; Ascomycota; Dothideomycetes; Pleosporales; Anteagloniaceae
Description: eukaryotic LSU rRNA
Rfam family: Eukaryotic large subunit ribosomal RNA
Source: RNAcentral
UACUGGCCAGAGACCGAUAGCGCACAAGUAGAGUGAUCGAAAGAUGAAAAGCACUUUGGAAAGAGAGUCAAACAGCACGUGAAAUUGUUGAAAGGGAAGCGCUUGCAGCCAGACUUGCCCGCGGUCGUUCUUCUUCCGCGGGCAGGCCAGCAUCAGUCUGGGCGGUCGGAUAAAGGCCUCGGGAAUGUAGCUCUCUUCGGGGAGUGUUAUAGCCCGGGGCGCCAUGCGGCCAGCUCGGACUGAGGUCCGCGCAUCUGCUAGGAUGCUGGCGUAAUGGCUGUAAGCGGCCCGUCUUGAAACACGGACCAAGGAGUCUAACAUCUAUGCGAGUGUUUGGGUGUCAAGCCCGGGCGCGCAAUGAAAGUGAACGGAGGUGGGAACCCCUCGGGGCGCACCAUCGACCGAUCCUGAUGUCUUCGGAUGGAUUUGAGUAAGAGCAUAGCUGUUGGGACCCGAAAGAUGGUGAACUAUGCCUGAAUAGGGUGAAGCCAGAGGAAACUCUGGUGGAGGCUCGCAGCGGUUCUGACGUGCAAAUCGAUCGUCAAAUUUGGGCAUAGGGGCGAAAGAC